UUUGGUUAAGUUAGAAAGGGCGCACGGUGGAUGCCUUGACACUAGGAGUCGAUGAAGGACGGGACUAACGCCGAUAUGCUUCGGGGAGCUGUAAGUAAGCUUUGAUCCGAAGAUUUCCGAAUGGGGAAACCCACCAUACGUAAUGGUAUGGUAUCCUUAUCUGAAUACAUAGGGUAAGGAAGACAGACCCAGGGAACUGAAACAUCUAAGUACCUGGAGGAAGAGAAAGCAAAUGCGAUUUCCUGAGUAGCGGCGAGCGAAACGGAACAUAGCCCAAACCAAGAGGCUUGCCUCUUGGGGUUGUAGGACAUUCUAUACGGAGUUACAAAGGAACGAGGUAGACGAAGCGACCUGGAAAGGUCCGUCGUAGAGGGUAACAACCCCGUAGUCGAAACUUCGUUCUCUCUUGAAUGUAUCCUGAGUACGGCGGAACACGUGAAAUUCCGUCGGAAUCUGGGAGGACCAUCUCCCAAGGCUAAAUACUCCCUAGUGAUCGAUAGUGAACCAGUACCGUGAGGGAAAGGUGAAAAGCACCCCGGAAGGGGAGUGAAAGAGAUCCUGAAACCGUGUGCCUACAAAUAGUCAGAGCCCGUUAACGGGUGAUGGCGUGCCUUUUGUAGAAUGAACCGGCGAGUUACGAUCCCGUGCGAGGUUAAGCUGAAGAGGCGGAGCCGCAGCGAAAGCGAGUCUGAAUAGGGCGUUUAGUACGUGGUCGUAGACCCGAAACCAGGUGAUCUACCCAUGUCCAGGGUGAAGUUCAGGUAACACUGAAUGGAGGCCCGAACCCACGCACGUUGAAAAGUGCGGGGAUGAGGUGUGGGUAGCGGAGAAAUUCCAAUCGAACCUGGAGAUAGCUGGUUCUCCCCGAAAUAGCUUUAGGGCUAGCCUUAAGUGUAAGAGUCUUGGAGGUAGAGCACUGAUUGGACUAGGGGUCCUCAUCGGAUUACCGAAUUCAGUCAAACUCCGAAUGCCAAUGACUUAUCCUUAGGAGUCAGACUGCGAGUGAUAAGAUCCGUAGUCAAAAGGGAAACAGCCCAGACCGCCAGCUAAGGUCCCAAAGUGUGUAUUAAGUGGAAAAGGAUGUGGAGUUGCUUAGACAACUAGGAUGUUGGCUUAGAAGCAGCCACCAUUUAAAGAGUGCGUAAUAGCUCACUAGUCGAGUGACUCUGCGCCGAAAAUGUACCGGGGCUAAAUACACCACCGAAGCUGCGGAUUGAUACCAAUGGUAUCAGUGGUAGGGGAGCGUUCUAAGGACAGUGAAGUCAGACCGGAAGGACUGGUGGAGUGCUUAGAAGUGAGAAUGCCGGUAUGAGUAGCGAAAGACGGGUGAGAAUCCCGUCCACCGAAUGCCUAAGGUUUCCUGAGGAAGGCUCGUCCGCUCAGGGUUAGUCAGGACCUAAGCCGAGGCCGACAGGCGUAGGCGAUGGACAACAGGUUGAUAUUCCUGUACCACCUCUUUAUCGUUUGAGCAAUGGAGGGACGCAGAAGGAUAGAAGAAGCGUGCGAUUGGUUGUGCACGUCCAAGCAGUUAGGCUGAUAAGUAGGCAAAUCCGCUUAUCGUAAAGGCUGAGCUGUGAUGGGGAAGCUCCUUAUGGAGCGAAGUCUUUGAUUCCCCGCUGCCAAGAAAAGCUUCUAGCGAGAUAAAAGGUGCCUGUACCGCAAACCGACACAGGUAGGCGAGGAGAGAAUCCUAAGGUGUGCGAGAGAACUCUGGUUAAGGAACUCGGCAAAAUGACCCCGUAACUUCGGGAGAAGGGGUGCUUUCUUAACGGAAAGCCGCAGUGAAUAGGCCCAAGCGACUGUUUAGCAAAAACACAGCUCUCUGCGAAGCCGUAAGGCGAAGUAUAGGGGGUGACACCUGCCCGGUGCUGGAAGGUUAAGGAGAGGGGUUAGCGUAAGCGAAGCUCUGAACUGAAGCCCCAGUAAACGGCGGCCGUAACUAUAACGGUCCUAAGGUAGCGAAAUUCCUUGUCGGGUAAGUUCCGACCCGCACGAAAGGUGUAACGAUUUGGGCACUGUCUCAACCAGAGACUCGGUGAAAUUAUAGUACCUGUGAAGAUGCAGGUUACCCGCGACAGGACGGAAAGACCCCGUGGAGCUUUACUGUAGCCUGAUAUUGAAUUUUGGUACAGUUUGUACAGGAUAGGCGGGAGCCAUUGAAACCGGAGCGCUAGCUUCGG
This 2180-nucleotide ribosomal RNA is filed under the name Bacillus thuringiensis serovar bolivia. RNAcentral's name for it is "bacterial LSU rRNA". It matches the Rfam family "Bacterial large subunit ribosomal RNA", at positions 1 to 2180 of the family's 2925-position model. Lineage: Bacteria; Bacillati; Bacillota; Bacilli; Caryophanales; Bacillaceae. The record is from RNAcentral.